RNAcentral lists this unclassified non-coding RNA (607 nucleotides) under Hevea brasiliensis (rubber tree). The record is from RNAcentral. Lineage: Eukaryota; Viridiplantae; Streptophyta; Magnoliopsida; Malpighiales; Euphorbiaceae.
AAAUCAAAAUAAUUUCUAAAUCUACUUUUCCUUGACUGCACCACCAGGUCUGUCCCCACAUGUACAAAGCUUUUUGAAAUUUUUCUAAAACUUCUGUUUUAUUUUAAUGUAAAAUUUUGAAUCAAAUACAAAAAGCUGAAAUGCCAUUGACCCAGUGUAGGCAAUAAUUUUGUGGGGUUCCAUAAUCUCUUCUAAUAAGUUUGGUGUAGGCAAUAACUUUUGGGGGUUCCAUAGUAAUGUUUAAUCUGUCUCUCACUCUCUCUUUCUAUCACUUCAUUCUCCUUUAUUCUUCAAUCAAGGCCCUUCUUUUUUACUUUACCUUUUUCUAGUCUUCUAUUUUUCUGUCUCUUGGUCGUCUAUUUUACCCACCUAUCUUCCAUCCCGUCUUUCUCUUAUUCCUCUUCUACUCUAUCUCAUCCUCUGUUUGCUUUCCCUUUAGUUCACUUGUUUCUAUUUUGCUUCUUCCCUUAUUUUUUUUUCCCAAUUGAUUCAUAAGAAACCUCGAAUAUUGUUAUUCCUCACUCUUAAGGAGAUGGGUAAUUUACAUUCCUGUUAAAUAUGCAUCCUAAUAUUCUGCUAAUUUUAACAUUAAUAAUUCCAUAAGAGA